CGGAAUUGGGAGCUGCGCGUUAGCGAAUGGGGUUUCGACACAUAGGCAAGAGAAACCAGCUUCCGUUUGGCCAUUUUGGGCGGGGAGUCGUUCGCCGACUUUGCUGUAACUAAUAUUCUAAAAACAUACUAAGACUUGAAAAAAGGAGUUUUUCUCAGUGAAACUGGGCUGUCAUGCAGAUGUUCUUUCUCUAGUUUAUGGGACUGCAGAUCAUCACUGGUUCUGGUUUUCCUCAAGGCUACGGGAAACGGCGCAAAGCGCCAAGCUUAGGACUCUGUGUUCCUUUGUCAGCAGGGAGGUUGGAGCCGGAGACCCACCCACAACGCUUCUACCUACACCGAAGAGCCCACAAAGAGCACCAUGAUAGGUGCUUGGUUGCUCUCAAGAGGCCAACUAAAAGCCUCCGUAGGCUUACUCGGGAUGGACUGACUGCCCUUUGCUGAUUCCCAACUGCUGUGCGGCAAGUAACCUCAAGAAAUCAGAAGAGGGUAUCAGCUCCCUGGGAACUAGAGUCACAGUUUGUGAACCACCAUGCAAAUGCUGGGAAUUGAACCUGCAUCCUUAGGAAGAGCAACCAGUGCUCUUAACCACUAAGCAUUAUCUCUGCAGCCCAGGAUUUGAUUUUUUUUUUUAAAUUUUCAUUUUGAGAUUCUGUUCUCAAACUGUGAUAUGUGGAUCCGGGUAGCCUUGAAUUCAAAGAGAUCCUCCUGUCUCUGCCUCCCAAAUGUGUACCACUAUCCCUGGAUAAAAACUUUUUAAUAUUAUGUUAUAUCUAGCACAGAAAACCUGGAAACUGAGCAAGAAUAAACAGGCAAAGAAUUAGGAUACUCACAGGAACACUGUAGUCUUGAAUUUACCCCCAUGUCAUUAAAUGACCAUCAAUCCCAGGGGCUGAGUAACAAUCCACUGGCAAGAUGCCUUAUUUCUUUUCUAACCUUGUAGCCUCAGAUAUUGGCAUGAACCUCUCCUGGGUAAAAUGCCUGUGUGUAUCAUCAUACAUGCAGUUUUGCCUACAUUUACCAUGGGCACAUUUGGUUACAUGGGAGUUAUUUCUGUAAGUAGUUAUAAGUGCUUCAGGGAGUGAGCUCAGAAAUAAAACCCAAAACCAAACCAGACUUUUAUCUUUGGGUAGCAUUUGG
Molecule: long non-coding RNA, 1139 nt
Organism: Alexandromys fortis (reed vole)
Lineage: Eukaryota; Metazoa; Chordata; Mammalia; Rodentia; Cricetidae
Exons: 3
Source: RefSeq, a predicted model, not a curated record